UUUUCUAAUCUCGUUUAUGUAUGUGCUUUAUUUCACUUAUUUUCUUUUAUUUAUAUUUGCCCUAGUCAGCCUUGCUCAAACUCUCGACAUCGCUCUCUUUCUCUCGCUCGCCCAAACACCGGGUUUAGAUCGAUACAUUCAUCUGGCCUUCGCGAUUUCUAUUCUUCAAUUUAUGUUCUUUGCGAUUUCUUCUUAUGAUCGAUGCCUUCAAUAUCAUUUGGAAUUCUGUUCUUCGCGAUUUCUUCAAAGUUGUUGCUGUGGAUUGCAAUUGAAUUCCUUUAGAUUGUGUUUUAUUGAGAGAUUCUCUGAGAGCAGUGGAUUUGGGCCAAGGUUUUCCCCUUCUCUCUUUCAUUCUUCUUCUGAUUCGGGGUAAUGAUUACAGGGUAAUGAUUAUUCCACAUGAGAAAUGCAUGGCAAAUGGAAGUAUGGUUCACCAUUACAGGAUUUGUGGAGCUCUUGUUGCAACUUUCUUUGCAUGCUUUGCGGGAGGUUCAUAGACGAACAUUUCCAGUUGAUGUAGCUUCUAACCCACUGCUGACUUCAUUGGCAGAUGUAUCUUUUUCGCAUGCAGCUACACUAUU
Molecule: non-coding RNA, 581 nt
Organism: Camellia sinensis
Lineage: Eukaryota; Viridiplantae; Streptophyta; Magnoliopsida; Ericales; Theaceae
Source: RefSeq, a predicted model, not a curated record